This 301-nucleotide ribosomal RNA is filed under the name uncultured bacterium. Its description in RNAcentral is "partial 16S ribosomal RNA". It matches the Rfam family "Bacterial small subunit ribosomal RNA", at positions 509 to 807 of the family's 1533-position model. The record is from RNAcentral.
CAGUAGCCGCGGUAAUACGGAGGGGGCUAGCGUUGUUCGGAAUUACUGGGCGUAAAGCGUACGUAGGCGGCUUUGUAAGUUAGAGGUGAAAGCCUGGAGCUCAACUCCAGAAUUGCCUUUAAGACUGCCUAGCUAGUAGGUGAGAGAGGUAAGUGGAAUUCCGAGUGUAGAGGUGAAAUUCGUAGAUAUUCGGAAGAACACCAGUGGCGAAGGCGGCUUACUGGCUCAUUCUAGACGCUGAGGCACGAAAGCGUGGGGAGCAAACAGGAUUAGAGACCCCCGUAGUCCCUGUCUCUUAUAC